This 770-nucleotide long non-coding RNA is filed under the name Homo sapiens (human). RNAcentral describes it as "PREDICTED lncRNA (TCONS_00154004)". Lineage: Eukaryota; Metazoa; Chordata; Mammalia; Primates; Hominidae. The record is from RNAcentral.
GGUCUGGCUGAUUUCACUUAACAUAAUGUCCUUCAGGUUCAUCCACAUUGUGCCAAAUGUUAAUCCUCUGUGGCCAUGUCGGGUCUGUUGGUGGAGAUGCCAAACACGGAAGACAGUGAAGUGGUGGCUCAGCGUUCUCCAAAGGAAUGAGCAAGCAGAUGAGGCAAAGCACACUCUGAAGAGUGACAACUAUAGCUUCCAUAAGAAAGUUUUGGAGGCUCCUAAAAAUGACAGAUAAAUGAACUAACCUAAUCAGCAAAAUUAAACUAUAGGAAAGAGUAUGGACCUUGAAAAGACAGCUUAGCCAGCUUGACGACUAAAGCAACACCUUUCCAAGCAACAUUGGAAAUUUGACCUCCUCAUCAGAAAAAUGUGUAUAGACAUCUCUGGAGUCAGGCUACCCCAUAUGAAGCUUGGAUUUUGGCUUCACUGUGGCUGCAGGUAUUUGAGGAUGCAAUUAGCUGAACUAAUCUCACUCAAAUUCCUAAGUGCGACUUCUUACGUGGUUUUCAUCUAGCCGUUCUAUCUAUCCCAACAAGAAUCUGUUGCUAGACCUCAAAAACACUGAGUGCUGUCAGGAAAAAAUGUACAAGGCACCACAAAGAUUAUGGGGCAUCUACUAUGGAAAACCUAGACAUUGUCUAGAGCAUUGUUUGUGGUUAUCUCUGUCUUUCAUUGCCUUUGAUCUAUUUUUCAACUCUCCACAUUGUAGAAAAUGACUGAUAAUUCAAAUGAUUCUUUUCCAUAAAAAUGGAAGUGAACAAUGUUCG